Molecule: ribosomal RNA, 1159 nt
Filed under: Duganella radicis
Lineage: Bacteria; Pseudomonadati; Pseudomonadota; Betaproteobacteria; Burkholderiales; Oxalobacteraceae
Description: partial 23S ribosomal RNA
Rfam family: Bacterial large subunit ribosomal RNA
Source: RNAcentral
GAAAAGGUUGCAAUAAACUGGUGGCUGCGACUGUUUAAUAAAAACACAGCACUCUGCAAACACGAAAGUGGACGUAUAGGGUGUGACGCCUGCCCGGUGCUGGAAGAUUAAAUGAUGGGGUGCAAGCUCUUGAUUGAAGUCCCAGUAAACGGCGGCCGUAACUAUAACGGUCCUAAGGUAGCGAAAUUCCUUGUCGGGUAAGUUCCGACCUGCACGAAUGGCGUAACGAUGGCCACACUGUCUCCUCCCGAGACUCAGCGAAGUUGAAGUGUUUGUGAUGAUGCAAUCUACCCGCGGCUAGACGGAAAGACCCCAUGAACCUUUACUGUAGCUUUGCAUUGGACUUUGAAUCAAUCUGUGUAGGAUAGGUGGGAGGCUUUGAAGCGGGGACGCCAGUUCCCGUGGAGCCAUCCUUGAAAUACCACCCUGGUUCAUUUGAGGUUCUAACCUUGGCCCGUUAUCCGGGUCGGGGACAGUGCAUGGUAGGCAGUUUGACUGGGGCGGUCUCCUCCUAAAGUGUAACGGAGGAGUUCGAAGGUACGCUAGGUACGGUCGGACAUCGUGCUAAUAGUGCAAUGGCAUAAGCGUGCUUAACUGCGAGACCGACAAGUCGAGCAGGUACGAAAGUAGGACAUAGUGAUCCGGUGGUUCUGUAUGGAAGGGCCAUCGCUCAACGGAUAAAAGGUACUCUGGGGAUAACAGGCUGAUUCCUCCCAAGAGUUCAUAUCGACGGGGGAGUUUGGCACCUCGAUGUCGGCUCAUCACAUCCUGGGGCUGUAGCCGGUCCCAAGGGUAUGGCUGUUCGCCAUUUAAAGUGGUACGUGAGCUGGGUUUAAAACGUCGUGAGACAGUUUGGUCCCUAUCUGCCGUGGGCGUUGGAAAUUUGAAGGGGGCUGCUCCUAGUACGAGAGGACCGGAGUGGACAGACCUCUGGUGUACCGGUUGUCACGCCAGUGGCAUUGCCGGGUAGCUAAGUCUGGAAGAGAUAACCGCUGAAAGCAUCUAAGCGGGAAACUUGCCUUAAGAUGAGAUUUCCCAGAGCCUUGAGCUCUUUGAAGGGUCGUUCGAGACCAGGACGUUGAUAGGUCAGGUGUGGAAGUGCAGUAAUGCAUUAAGCUAACUGAUACUAAUUGCCCGUACGGCUUGUCCCUAUAACCUU